GGUGGUUUUUUAAGUCUGAUGUGAAAGCCCACGGCCCAUUCGUGGAGGGUCAUUGGAAACUGGAAAACUUGAGUGUUCCAGAAUAGGAAAGUGGAAUUCCAUGUGUAGCGGUGAAAUGCGCAGAGAUAUGGAGGAACACCAGUGGCGAAGGCGACUUUCUGGUCUGUAACUGACGCUGAUGUGCGAAAGCGUGGGGAUCAAACAGGAUUAGAUACCCUGGUA
Molecule: ribosomal RNA, 222 nt
Filed under: Staphylococcus aureus
Lineage: Bacteria; Bacillati; Bacillota; Bacilli; Caryophanales; Staphylococcaceae
Description: partial 16S ribosomal RNA
Rfam family: Bacterial small subunit ribosomal RNA
Source: RNAcentral